AUUCUAAAGAUUCCUUGUGAUUAGAGCUAUAUUCAUCAGUCUUAGAGUAUACUUUUACGAUCAGUCAUCUCUUAUUUGAUCUUCACUUUAUCUUCGUGACUCGUGAAAUAGAGCUUUUACGAUCUGCUUUACGCUCAACUCUACAAUCAGCUUGAGCAAACCUUGCAAACUCCUCUUUUACUCUGAUAGCUCUUCGGCAGCUUUACGAUUCUCGUACCAAGG
This 222-nucleotide long non-coding RNA is filed under the name Panax ginseng (ginseng). RNAcentral describes it as "long non-coding RNA (PGIN_LNC017884)". The record is from RNAcentral. Lineage: Eukaryota; Viridiplantae; Streptophyta; Magnoliopsida; Apiales; Araliaceae.